UCAAAGGAAAUUGUGCCUUAUUGUUUGUGUGGUGUGCAUUCAUGAAAUUUAUUACAUAUUCACCAUGCUAUUUUGAUACAAAAUAUCAUGCAAAUAUUUACAAUGAACAUUUUACGAAAAGAGAGUUUUAACGUGAUGUGGGGAUCGAUAUUUUGAGAAAGAUUUAAAAUAUCCCCUUGAAGAUCAAAUUUGAAUUCUUUUAAAAGGUGAUUUCAUUUUAACCAAAAAAUUCAAGAGUAAUUGGAG
This 246-nucleotide long non-coding RNA is filed under the name Theobroma cacao (cacao). Its description in RNAcentral is "long non-coding RNA (TCAC_LNC003081)". Lineage: Eukaryota; Viridiplantae; Streptophyta; Magnoliopsida; Malvales; Malvaceae. The record is from RNAcentral.